UUUUGGACAAUGGGGGAAACCCUGAUCCAGCCAUCCCGCGUGUGCGAUGAAGGCCUUCGGGUUGUAAAGCACUUUUGGCAGGGAAGAAAAGGCUCUGGCUAAUACCUGGAGCUGCUGACGGUACCUGCAGAAUAAGAACCGGCUAACGAUGUUCAAUCAGCCGCGGUAAUACGUAGGGUGCAAGCGUUAAUCGGAAUUACUGGGCGUAAAGCGGGGGCAGGCGGUUCGGCAAGAAGGAUGUGAAAUCCCAGGGCUUAACCUUGGAACUGCAUUCUUAACUGCCGGGCUAGAGUAUGUCAGAGGGGGGUAGAAUUCCGCGUGUAGCAGUGAAAUGCGUAGAGAUGCGGAGGAAUACCGAUGGCGAAGGCAGCCCCCUGGGAUAAUACUGACGCUCAUGCACGAAAGCGUGGGGAGCAAAC
This 419-nucleotide ribosomal RNA is filed under the name uncultured bacterium. Its description in RNAcentral is "partial 16S ribosomal RNA". It matches the Rfam family "Bacterial small subunit ribosomal RNA", at positions 362 to 773 of the family's 1533-position model. The record is from RNAcentral.